Molecule: long non-coding RNA, 969 nt
Organism: Gymnodraco acuticeps
Lineage: Eukaryota; Metazoa; Chordata; Actinopteri; Perciformes; Bathydraconidae
Exons: 7
Source: RefSeq, a predicted model, not a curated record
CAAUGCUGCUCUUCUGAGAGCAACCGCUCUGACAGCUCUCUCUAGUCUCUACUGGGAAACAGCUAAAAGUCCUUCUGGAGGCUUUGCAUUUGAACUCCUAUGACUGGUUGCGGACAUGAAGGGAACGACUUCCUGGCCUUCCUGACAUCCAGAAAAAAGGUGAGAUUCUAAUACAUUUGAAUGCCAAAAGCAAGUUAUUGUUUUUAACUUUUUAAAUAUGAUUGUUUUGGGGCAUUUCAGUUUUAUUGGACAGAGGCAGUAGAUAUCUACUGGAAACAGUGGAGAGGGAGGAGAUGAUAUGCAGCAAAAGGCCCAGCCGGAUAGUUGCUGCUCCGUGUGGAACGUGUUCUAUCAGGUGUAACAUCUACCAAUGGUUGUACAGGACACCACCUCUUUGCUGUCCUACUAGUCAACCCUCCUGAUCAGGUCAUUUCCUAAAUAGUGAAAGGAUCAUGCCAGCCCACAUCAAACACCUGAUCAAGAACUUGUGAACCUCACUGCUGCGGACACCUGUGUGAUAUUCGACUCUGACUGGAACCCUCAAAAUGACCUGCAGGCUCAAGCUCGGCGUCAUCGUUUUGGCCAGUCUAAGGCGGUGAAGGUGUACCGUCUGAUCACUAGAAACUAUGAGAGUGAAAUGCUGGAUAAAGCUAGUCUGAAGCUCGGGCUGGACCGUGCCGUCCUGCAGAGCAUGAGUGGGAACAAAGAAGGCAACAACAACGGGCUGGUCCAGCAGUUCUCCAAGAAGGAGAUCGAGGACCUGCUGAGGAAAGGAGCCUACGCCGCCAUCAUGGACGAGAACGACGAAGGCAAUCGCUUCUGCUAGGAGGACAUCGACCAGAUCCUGCAGCGAAGAGCCACCAUCAUCAUCAUCACCAGUUUGCUUCAAGCAGUGGAUGUACGAGAAAGACGUGGAAGACCAAGAAAUGCUGGCCAGAUUGGCAAAGACCGGAAGAUACAUAACAGAGA